GGGUGCGAUCAUACCAGCACUAAUGCACCGGAUCCCGGCAACGCGACCCUAUGAAAGCGUGCUUGGGCGAGAGUUGUACUACGAUGGGUGACCUCCUUGGAAGUCCUCGUCUUGCACCCC
RNAcentral lists this ribosomal RNA (120 nucleotides) under Eutrema salsugineum. The record is from RNAcentral. Lineage: Eukaryota; Viridiplantae; Streptophyta; Magnoliopsida; Brassicales; Brassicaceae.